GGAGAGGUCGCAUAGUGGUCUAGUGCAGAAGUUUACUAAACUUCCAUAUCCGAAAGGAUAUCGCGGGUUCGAAUCCCGCCCUCUCCGCCA
This 90-nucleotide transfer RNA is filed under the name Candidatus Collierbacteria bacterium. Its description in RNAcentral is "tRNA-Ser". It matches the Rfam family "tRNA". Rfam says of the family: Transfer RNA (tRNA) molecules are approximately 80 nucleotides in length. Lineage: Bacteria; Candidatus Collieribacteriota. The record is from RNAcentral.